CCCUGGCGGCAUCUUACCAUGCAGUCAACGGUACGGGCCUUCGGGUGCCGACGAGUGGCGGACGGGUGAUACCGUAAGAAUCUGCCUGGUAGUGGGGGACAACUUAGGGAAACUUAAGCUAAUACCGCAUACGCCCUACGGGGGAAAGCGGGGGAUCUUCGGACCUCGCGCUAUCAGAUGAGCCUGCGUUGGAUUAGCUAGUUUGUAGGGUAAAGGCCUACCAAGGCGACGGUCCAUAGCUUGUCUGAGAGGACGAUCAGCCACACUGGGACUGAGACACGGCCCAGACUCCUACGGGAGGCAGCAGUGGGGAAUAUUGGGCAAUGGGCGAAAGCCUGACCCAGCAACGCCGCGUGAAGGAUGAAAUCCCUCGGGAUGUAACUUCGCAAGAAUAGGAAGAAUGAGUAGGGGCUAAUACUCCCUACGAUGACGGUACUAUUUGUAAGCUCCGGCUAACUUCGUGCCAGCAGCCGCGGUAAUACGGGGGGAGCAAGCGUUGUUCGGAUUUACUGGGCGUAAAGGGCGCGUAGGCGGCCAGCACAAGUCAGUUGUGAAAUCUCCGGGCUUAACUCGGAAAGGUCAACUGAUACUGUGCGGCUAGAGUGCAGAAGGG
This 613-nucleotide ribosomal RNA is filed under the name uncultured Acidobacterium sp. Its description in RNAcentral is "bacterial SSU rRNA". It matches the Rfam family "Bacterial small subunit ribosomal RNA", at positions 34 to 656 of the family's 1533-position model. Lineage: Bacteria; Pseudomonadati; Acidobacteriota; Terriglobia; Terriglobales; Acidobacteriaceae. The record is from RNAcentral.